GAUGAAGACGUAGCGAAAUGCGAUAAGUAGUGUGAAUUGCAGAAUUCAGUGAAUCAUCGAAUCUUUGAACGCACAUUGCGCCCUGUGGUAUUCCGCAGGGCAUGCCUGUUCGAGCGUCAUUGACACCCUCAAGCUCUGCUUGGUCUUGGGCGUUUGUGCCUGCCGUUGCGCAGGGACUCGCCUCAAACUCAUUGGCAGCCUGCCUUUGCCGGUCUUUGCACAGCACAGUCGUGCCAAAGCCGCGGUGAGCAGGCGCUCCACAAGCCCUUUUCAGCUUGACCUCGGAUCAGGUAGGAAUACCCGCUGAACUUAAGCAUAUCAAUAAGCGGAGGA
RNAcentral lists this unclassified non-coding RNA (333 nucleotides) under soil metagenome. RNAcentral's name for it is "partial contains 5.8S ribosomal RNA, internal transcribed spacer 2, and large subunit ribosomal RNA". The stretch from base 1 to 119 matches the Rfam family "5.8S ribosomal RNA", at positions 35 to 154 of the family's 154-position model. The record is from RNAcentral.